Molecule: regulatory RNA element, 43 nt
Organism: Gorilla gorilla gorilla (western lowland gorilla)
Lineage: Eukaryota; Metazoa; Chordata; Mammalia; Primates; Hominidae
Rfam family: Prion pseudoknot
About the family: This family represents a predicted pseudoknot structure found in prion protein mRNA. It has been suggested that the family has a possible effect in prion protein translation.
Source: Rfam
UCAGGGCGGUGGUGGCUGGGGGCAGCCUCAUGGUGGUGGCUGG